Molecule: long non-coding RNA, 645 nt
Organism: Oncorhynchus tshawytscha (Chinook salmon)
Lineage: Eukaryota; Metazoa; Chordata; Actinopteri; Salmoniformes; Salmonidae
Source: Ensembl
CCUUACUGUUAGAGGGGUAGAGAAUAGGAAGUGUCCUUACUGUUAGAGGGGUAGAGAAUAGGAAGUAUCCUUAAUGAAGGACCUACUGUUAGAGAGGUAGAGAAUAGGAGGUAUCCUUAAUGAAGGACCUACUGUUAGAGAGGUAGAGAAUAGGAGGUAUCCUUAAUGAAGGACCUACUGUUAGAGAGGUAGAGAAUAGGAGGUAUCCUUAAUGAAGGACCUACUGUUAGAGAGGUAGAGAAUAGGAGUUAUCCUUAAUGAAGGACCUACUGUUAGAGAACUACUUCCCAGCUACAAACACAAACAUGGAUAUUAUUCAGCAGAAGAGACUCAUAUUUUCUUCCUCAAGUGUGCUCUUCCUUCACUCCCCCAUGUUUCUUACUCCUGUCCAUGGUGUGGAGUCAACAAGUACACACUUCUAAGGUAGAGAAUUGGGACUCAUCAAAAGGCCUUCUAUAAGAUCCUGGAUCAACCUAACCCUUUGGUCUGUUUGUCUGAGAGAGAGAGAGAGAGAGAGACAUGGUUCAGAGAGAGAGAGAGAGAGACAUGGUUCAGAGAGAGAGAGAGAGAGAGAUGGUUCAGAGAGAGAGAGAGAGACAUGGUUCAGAGAGAGAGAGAGAGACAUGGUUCAGAGAGAGAGAGAGA